This 395-nucleotide ribosomal RNA is filed under the name uncultured bacterium. RNAcentral describes it as "partial 16S ribosomal RNA". It matches the Rfam family "Bacterial small subunit ribosomal RNA", at positions 523 to 918 of the family's 1533-position model. The record is from RNAcentral.
AUACGUAGGGUGCAAGCGUUAAUCGGAAUUACUGGGCGUAAAGCGUGCGCAGGCGGUUUUGUAAGACAGUGGUGAAAUCCCCGGGCUCAACCUGGGAACUGCCAUUGUGACUGCAAGGCUGGAGUGCGGCAGAGGGGGAUGGAAUUCCGGGGGUAGCAGUGAAAUGCGUAGAUAUGCGGAGGAACACCGAUGGCGAAGGCAAUCCCCUGGGCCUGCACUGACGCUCAUGCACGAAAGCGUGGGGAGCAAACAGGAUUAGAUACCCUGGUAGUCCACGCCCUAAACGAUGUCAACUGGUUGUUGGGGAUUUAUUUUCUCAGUAACGAAGCUAACGCGUGAAGUUGACCGCCUGGGGAGUACGGCCGCAAGGUUAAAACUCAAAUGAAUUGGCGGGG